Molecule: ribosomal RNA, 446 nt
Filed under: uncultured bacterium
Lineage: Bacteria
Description: bacterial SSU rRNA
Rfam family: Bacterial small subunit ribosomal RNA
Source: RNAcentral
UUCCAGACUCCUACGGGAGGCAGCAGUGGGGAAUAUUGCACAAUGGGGGAAACCCUGAUGCAGCGACGCCGCGUGAGUGAAGAAGUAUUUCGGUAUGUAAAGCUCUAUCAGCAGGGAAGAAAAUGACGGUACCUGACUAAGAAGCCCCGGCUAACUACGUGCCAGCAGCCGCGGUAAUACGUAGGGGGCAAGCGUUAUCCGGAUUUACUGGGUGUAAAGGGGGCGCAGACGGCGAUGCAAGCCAGGAGUGAAAGCCCGGGGCCCAACCCCGGGACUGCUCUUGGAACUGCGUGGCUGGAGUGCAGGAGGGGCAGGCGGAAUUCCUGGUGUAGCGGUGAAAUGCGUAGAUAUCAGGAGGAACACCGGUGGCGAAGGCGGCCUGCUGGACUGCAACUGACGUUGAGGCCCGAAAGCGUGGGGAGCAAACAGGAUUAGAUACCCCUGUA